ACCACUUACUUUCCUCCAAAUCCCACUGUCCGAGAGGAAACAAUUUACUUUUCAUCGUCGAUCCCGAGCUUGUGGACACGUAGAUGAAAUCGCCAGGCUGAAGCUGUUGAAUCCGAAUAUACCUUUUCGCAUGUCCCUCUUUCUCUCUCCAUGAAUGGCUUCCUCCUUCAAGCUGUCUCUGUUCGUCGCUCAAAAACUUUUCUCUCUUUCUCAACACGUGACGCCUCAUCUUUAACUAUUCGGUUAGCCAGCUUACCAAGAAUUUUCUAGCUCUCCUUCUUCAAUAUUCAAUUGUCACGUCCCAUCUUCUGUGUUUUUCCCUUCAGUCGCCAUUUUCUAGCACACUGUAAAAGAGGACAAAAAGAAGAAGCUUACCAAGAAGGAAGCCCUAGAAGGUCGUGUUAAAAGAUAACCCAAAAGGCGUCGUUUUGAAACAAAUAAGGAUCCCAUGUUGAACGAUGCCCUUUAGCAUCAUUUGUGGCAUUGGGUUCUACUGAAACAACAUCGUUUUAAAGGAAUAGUGCUCUUGCGUUUAGGCUUACAUUCUAAAUUCAACCCAAUCCCAAACCCUUUUUCUUUUCCUCCUUUUUUCCACCUUUUUCUUUUCUUUUCUUUUCUUUUCUUGUCU
RNAcentral lists this long non-coding RNA (628 nucleotides) under Carica papaya (papaya). RNAcentral describes it as "long non-coding RNA (CPAP_LNC007971)". The record is from RNAcentral. Lineage: Eukaryota; Viridiplantae; Streptophyta; Magnoliopsida; Brassicales; Caricaceae.